This 300-nucleotide ribosomal RNA is filed under the name uncultured Pyrobaculum sp. RNAcentral's name for it is "partial 16S ribosomal RNA". The stretch from base 52 to 300 matches the Rfam family "Bacterial small subunit ribosomal RNA", at positions 547 to 795 of the family's 1533-position model. Lineage: Archaea; Thermoproteati; Thermoproteota; Thermoprotei; Thermoproteales; Thermoproteaceae. The record is from RNAcentral.
GGUACUGGAGGGGCAGGAGCCGUGGGAAUGAGAAGGGGCGGAGCGUUGUCCGGAUUAAGUGGGCGGAAAGAGGGCGUAGGCGGCCGGGUAGGUCCGUUGUGAAAACUCGGGGCUCAACCUGGGGAGGCCGAUGGAGACCGGGAGGCUAGAGUCCGGGAGAGGAGGGUGGAAUUCCUGGUGUAGCGGUGAAAUGCGUAGAUAUCAGGAAGAACACCGAUGGCGAAGGCGGCUAUCUAGUACAGUACUGACGCUGAGGCGCGAAAGCGUGGGGAGCGAACAGGAUUAGAUACCCUGGUAGUC